GACGAACGCUGGCGGCGCGCUUAACACAUGCAAGUCGAGCGGUAAGGCCCUUUCGGGGGUACGACGAGCGGCGAACGGGUGAGUAACACGUGGGUGACCUGCCCUCCAGCUCUGGGAUAAGCCUGGGAAACCGGGUACUAAUACCGGAUAUGACUCCAUGACGCAUGUUGUGGGGUGGAAAGCCUUGUGCGGCUGAGGAUGGGCCUGCGGCCUAUCAGCUUGUUGGUGGGGGAUGGCCUACCAAGGCGACGACGGGUAGCCGG
RNAcentral lists this ribosomal RNA (263 nucleotides) under uncultured bacterium. RNAcentral describes it as "partial 16S ribosomal RNA". It matches the Rfam family "Bacterial small subunit ribosomal RNA", at positions 28 to 290 of the family's 1533-position model. The record is from RNAcentral.